This 115-nucleotide ribosomal RNA is filed under the name uncultured Eubacteriales bacterium. RNAcentral describes it as "uncultured Clostridiales bacterium partial 16S ribosomal RNA". It matches the Rfam family "Bacterial small subunit ribosomal RNA", at positions 354 to 467 of the family's 1533-position model. Lineage: Bacteria; Bacillati; Bacillota; Clostridia; Eubacteriales. The record is from RNAcentral.
GUGGGGAAUAUUGGACAAUGGGGGAAACCCUGAUCCAGCGACGCCGCGUGAGUGAAGAAGUAUUUCGGUAUGUAAAGCUCUAUCAGCAGGAAGAAAAUGACGUACCUACUAGAGU